This 501-nucleotide ribosomal RNA is filed under the name uncultured bacterium. Its description in RNAcentral is "partial 16S ribosomal RNA". It matches the Rfam family "Bacterial small subunit ribosomal RNA", at positions 30 to 523 of the family's 1533-position model. The record is from RNAcentral.
AUUGAACGCUGGCGGCAGGCUUAACACAUGCAAGUCGAGCGGGGGAAGGUAGCUUGCUACCGGACCUAGCGGCGGACGGGUGAGUAAUGCUUAGGAAUCUGCCUAUUAGUGGGGGACAACAUCUCGAAAGGGAUGCCAAUACCGCAUACGUCCUACGGGAGAAAGCAGGGGAUCUUCGGACCUUGCGCUAAUAGAUGAGCCUAAGUCGGAUUAGCCAGUUGGUGGGGUAAAGGCCUACCAAGGCGACGAUCUGUAGCGGGUCUGAGAGGAUGAUCCGCCACACUGGGACUGAGACACGGCCCAGACUCCUACGGGAGGCAGCAGUGGGGAAUAUUGGACAAUGGGGGGAACCCUGAUCCAGCCAUGCCGCGUGUGUGAAGAAGGCCUUAUGGUUGUAAAGCACUUUAAGCGAGGAGGAGGCUACUUUAGUUAAUACCUAGAGAUAGUGGACGUUACUCGCAGAAUAAGCACCGGCUAACUCUGUGCCAGCAGCCGCCGUAA